Parathielavia appendiculata is the source of this 98-nucleotide non-coding RNA. Lineage: Eukaryota; Fungi; Ascomycota; Sordariomycetes; Sordariales; Chaetomiaceae. The record is from the annotation of a RefSeq genome assembly.
UCUUCCGUAGUAUAGUGGUCAGUAUGUGAGCUUGUCAAAUCCCCUCUACCGGGGUAUUAGCACCGCUCGAGACCCGGGUUCAAUUCCCGGCGGGAGAG